Molecule: ribosomal RNA, 253 nt
Filed under: uncultured bacterium
Lineage: Bacteria
Description: partial 16S ribosomal RNA
Rfam family: Bacterial small subunit ribosomal RNA
Source: RNAcentral
UACGGGGGGGGCAAGCGUUGUUCGGAAUUACUGGGCGUAAAGGGCUCGUAGGCGGCCAACUAAGUCAGACGUGAAAUCCCCAGGCUUAACCUGGGAACUGCGUCUGAUACUGGAUGGCUUGAAUCCGGGAGAGGGAUGCAGAAUUCCAGGUGUAGCGGUGAAAUGCGUAGAUAUCUGGAGGAAUACCGGUGGCGAAGGCGGCAUCCUGGACCGGCAUUGACGCUGAGGAGCGAAGGCUAGGGGAGCAAACGGG